UAACAAGUACCUCUGUUUGGUCUCAGCUGAAACCUGUCUACCUGAGAACAGCUCUCAUGUCAGCUCCUCUGAUCCAUAUGAUGACUGAAUGUGAUUAUGUGACAUACCGAUAGUAUAACAGUCGAGCCAAUGGGAACUUCAAUAACAGCCUCAGCUGGAAGAGGCCAGGACAGACGGACAGAAAGACAGACAGGAUUAAAUCUUUAUAAAACAUGUAAACACUU
Long non-coding RNA from Dicentrarchus labrax (European seabass), 224 nucleotides. RefSeq lists it as uncharacterized. Lineage: Eukaryota; Metazoa; Chordata; Actinopteri; Moronidae. The record is from RefSeq and is a predicted model, not a curated record. The transcript is spliced from 2 exons.